Long non-coding RNA from Delphinapterus leucas (beluga whale), 300 nucleotides. RefSeq lists it as uncharacterized. Lineage: Eukaryota; Metazoa; Chordata; Mammalia; Artiodactyla; Monodontidae. The record is from RefSeq and is a predicted model, not a curated record.
UCGCCCCUCCUGGUCAGGGUGGGGGCGUACCAAGAGGACAUCCAAUGCAGGGCCGAAGGGGAAAAAUAACACCGCGGGAGGUAACAGGAGAACCAUCGACCCAGUCUCCCAGUGGAAGAUGUGUCCCUCCUCCAGCCCAAAGCCAACCCCUCCACUGUGCUCCAGAUCCCCUCUCAUCUCUCACUGCUUCCUCAGUCAUCCUUCUCGGGCUUUCCUGGUGGUGCGGUGGUCAAGAAUCUGCCUGCCAAUGCAGGGGACACGGGUUCGGGCCCUGGUCCGGGGAGAUCCCACAUGUCGCGG